RNAcentral lists this transfer RNA (89 nucleotides) under Candidatus Roizmanbacteria bacterium RIFCSPHIGHO2_02_FULL_40_9. Its description in RNAcentral is "tRNA-Ser". It matches the Rfam family "tRNA". Rfam says of the family: Transfer RNA (tRNA) molecules are approximately 80 nucleotides in length. Their secondary structure includes four short double-helical elements and three loops (D, anti-codon, and T loops). Lineage: Bacteria; Candidatus Roizmaniibacteriota. RNAcentral also lists the same sequence under 1 other name. The record is from RNAcentral.
GGAGAGGUCGCAUAGUGGCCUAGUGCGAAGGUCUUGAAAACCUUUGAGGUGCAUAGCCUCCGUGGGUUCGAAUCCCACCCUCUCCGCCA